Molecule: ribosomal RNA, 440 nt
Filed under: uncultured archaeon
Lineage: Archaea
Description: bacterial SSU rRNA
Rfam family: Archaeal small subunit ribosomal RNA
Source: RNAcentral
GGAGGUUACUGCUAUCGGUGUUCGCCUAACCCAUGCGAGUCAUAUGUUCUUCGUGAACAUGGCGUACUGCUCAGUAACACGUGAAUAACCUGCCCUUGGGACCGGCAUAACCCCGGGAAACUGGGGAUAAUUCCGGAUACCGCAUAUAUGCUGGAAUGCUUUAUGCGUGAAAUGGAUUCGUCUGCCCAAGGAUGGAUCUGCGGCCUAUCAGGUAGUAGUGGGUGUAAUGUACCUACUACCCUACAACGGGUACGGGUUGUGAAAGCAAAAGCCCGGAAAUGGAUUCUGAAACAUGAAUCCAGGCCCUACGGGGCGCACCAGGCGCGAAAACUUUACAAUGCGGGAAACCGUGAUAAGGGGACACCGAGUGCCAGCAACAUUUGUUGGCUGUCCAGGUGUGUAAACUACACCUGUUAGCAAGGGCCGGGCAAGACCGGUGC